CAUUAUCAUUUUAGGACCUAAGUUGGAAUACUAUCUAUAGUGGUGCUAUUAGUGUUUUAGUCUUUGGAUUGAGAAAUAUGCGGUUAGGAUGAUGUGGGCCCCCUACGGUUGAAUGGGUGGUUGGUUGAAUAGUAUAAUCUAAUAGAUAAAAAUAAUCAAAGAAUUAAAUCUAACGGUGGAAAACUCGAUAACACCAAGUUCUUGAUGCUAUCGAUAGUAUCCCAGCCGGACUCAUCAUUUUAGUACUAUACUAUUAAAAAAAUGGGAAAACUUCAAAAACCCCCCUUGUGGUCUUAAUUUUUUUCACUUUAGUACCCUGUGGUUUAAAAUGUAUCAAGUUAGUACAUUGUGGUUUCUCACUUUAUCACUUUAGUACCCUGUGGUUUAAAGUGUAUCAAGUUAGUACCAUGUGGUUUUGCAUUUUAUCACUUUAGUACCCUGUGGUUUUGAUUUUGUAUCAAAUUAGUACCCUGUGGUUUUUUAAACUAUAGGGUACUAAAGUGAUAAAGUGUGAAACCACAUGGUACUAAAGUGAUAAAGUGCAAAACCACAGGGUACUAACUUGAUACACUUUAAACCACAGGAUACUAAAGUGAUAAAGUGAGAAACCACAGGGUACUAACUUGAUACACUUUAAACCACAGGGUACUAAAGUGAUAAAGUGAGAAACCACAGGGUACUAACUUGAUACACUUUAAACCACAGGGUACAAAAAUGAAAAAGUGUGGAACCACAGAGGGGGUUUUUGAAGUUUUCCCUAAAAAAAUAUUCAAAUUAUAAACAA
Molecule: long non-coding RNA, 784 nt
Filed under: Ananas comosus (pineapple)
Lineage: Eukaryota; Viridiplantae; Streptophyta; Magnoliopsida; Poales; Bromeliaceae
Description: long non-coding RNA (ACOM_LNC010727)
Source: RNAcentral